UACACGUUGAUGGGAGUGUAAAUUAGUUCA
This 30-nucleotide non-coding RNA is filed under the name Homo sapiens (human). Lineage: Eukaryota; Metazoa; Chordata; Mammalia; Primates; Hominidae. The record is from RNAcentral.